Molecule: long non-coding RNA, 845 nt
Filed under: Homo sapiens (human)
Lineage: Eukaryota; Metazoa; Chordata; Mammalia; Primates; Hominidae
Description: HSALNT0003812
Source: RNAcentral
AAUAGCUUCAUGCCAGCAAAUGGCCUCACUGUGGCCCAAAACCAGGUGUUGAAUUUGAUUAAGGCUUGUCCAAGACCUGAAGGGUUGAACUUUCAGGAUCUCAAGAACCAGCUGAAACACAUGUCUGUAUCCUCAAUCAAGCAAGCUGUGGAUUUUCUGAGCAAUGAGGGGCACAUCUAUUCUACUGUGGAUGAUGACCAUUUUAAAUCCACAGAUGCAGAAUAACUGGAUCUAACUGGGUACCUGAGAUAUUUUACAGCUGGACCUAGUUUCACAAUCUGUUGUCUCCAGCUCUGCAUAUGUCUGGCCAGGGGGCUUCUAGGAAGUAGGUUUCAUCUAUCAAAUGUCUCCUCUGACUUCCUUUUGAAACUUACUGCUCUUCUGUUUUAUUUUGUUUUGUUUGAAGCUCAGAGGGAGAUGGGCAAUUGACAGGGAUGCAAUCCAGGGUGGGAUUUCUUGAGGAAGUUACAAAUAAGCUUGUUACAACAUCAAGAUAGAUGGAAUUGGAAGGAUGCUACCAGGAGAGUACUUACAUAGUGCUCAGGAGUUUCUCUUCUUAAAAUGUUUACUGCUGAAAGAUGAGCAGGACCAGGGCGUUAUAGGCAGAGCCCUAGCCGAGAAACCUGCUGGCCUCUGCCUGUUUUCAUUUCCCACUUUGGUUGUGUGGCAUUACUUUCAGAAUUGCACUUUCCUGCUUGUCAUGACUUUUUGACACACUUGCCAUGACGUGUGUUUCUGUGAACAUGAAGUUCUGCGGUAGUGCCUCCAGGGGCAGAGGAAAAGAAGAAGUGUUACUGCAUUUUGUACAAAAUAAAUACAGUCAUAUGUUUAAUAAAACAGUUCUA